GAUGAACGCUGGCGGCGUGCCUAAUACAUGCAAGUCGAGCGAACGGACGAGAAGCUUGCUUUUCUGAUGUUAGCGGCGGACGGGUGAGUAACACGUGGAUAACCUACCUAUAAGACUGGGAUAACUUCGGGAAACCGGAGCUAAUACCGGAUAAUAUUUUGAACCGCAUGGUUCAAAAGUGAAAGACGGUCUUGCUGUCACUUAUAGAUGGAUCCGCGCUGCAUUGGCUAGUUGGUAAGGUAACGGCUUACCAAGGCAACGAUGCAUAGCCGACCUGAGAGGGUGAUCGGCCAAACUGGAACUGAGACACGGUCCAGACUCCUACGGGAGGCAGCAGUAGGGAAUCUUCCGCAAUGGGCGAAAGCCUGACGGAGCAACGCCGCGUGAGUGAUGAAGGUCUUCGGAUCGUAAAACUCUGUUAUUAGGGAAGAACAUAUGUGUAAGUAACUGUGCACAUCUUGACGGUACCUAAGCAGAAAGCCACGGCUAACUACGU
This 496-nucleotide ribosomal RNA is filed under the name uncultured bacterium. RNAcentral describes it as "partial 16S ribosomal RNA". It matches the Rfam family "Bacterial small subunit ribosomal RNA", at positions 28 to 506 of the family's 1533-position model. The record is from RNAcentral.